Molecule: ribosomal RNA, 372 nt
Filed under: uncultured organism
Description: partial 16S ribosomal RNA
Rfam family: Bacterial small subunit ribosomal RNA
Source: RNAcentral
GUAGGGUGCAAGCGUUAAUCGGAAUUACUGGGCGUAAAGCGUGCGCAGGCGGUUUUGUAAGUCUGUCGUGAAAGCCCCGGGCUCAACCUGGGAAUUGCGAUGGAGACUGCAAGGCUUGAAUCUGGCAGAGGGGGGUAGAAUUCCACGUGUAGCAGUGAAAUGCGUAGAGAUGUGGAGGAACACCGAUGGCGAAGGCAGCCCCCUGGGUCAAGAUUGACGCUCAUGCACGAAAGCGUGGGGGGAGCAAACAGGAUUAGAUACCCUGGUAGUCCACGCCCUAAACGAUGUCUACUAGUUGUCGGGUUUUAAUUAACCUUGGUAACGCAGCUAACGCGUGAAGUAGACCGCCUGGGGAGUACGGUCGCAAGAUUA